This 253-nucleotide ribosomal RNA is filed under the name uncultured bacterium. RNAcentral's name for it is "partial 16S ribosomal RNA". It matches the Rfam family "Bacterial small subunit ribosomal RNA", at positions 524 to 776 of the family's 1533-position model. The record is from RNAcentral.
UACGGAGGGUGCGAGCGUUGUCCGGAAUCAUUGGGCGUAAAGGGCGCGUAGGUGGCCCGCUCAGCGUGCGGUGAAAGCUCGGGGCUCAACCCCGAGUCGGCCGUGCGAACUGGUGGGCUGGAGCACUGUAGAGGCAGGCGGAAUUCCGGGUGUAGCGGUGGAAUGCGUAGAGAUCCGGAAGAACACCGGUGGCGAAGGCGGCCUGCUGGGCAGUUACUGACACUCAGCUGCGAAAGCGUGGGGAGCAAACAGG